AUUGAACGCUGGCGGAAUGCUUUACACAUGCAAGUCGAACGGCAGCACGGACUUCGGUCUGGUGGCGAGUGGCGAACGGGUGAGGAAUGUAUCUGAACGUGCCCAGUCGUGGGGGAUAACGUAGUGAAAAUUACGCUAAUACAGCAUACCAUCCAUUGAUGAAAGCGGGCGAUGGCAAGACCUCGCGCGAUUGGAGCGGCCGAUAUCAGAUUAGGUAGUUGGUGGGGUAAAGGCCGACCAAGCCAACGAUCUGUAGCUGGUCUGAGAGGACGACCAGCCACACUGGAACGGAGACACGGUCCAGACUCCUACGGGAGGCAGCAGUGGGGAAUUUUGGACAAUGGGCGAAAGCCUGAUCCAGCCAUUCCGCGUGCAGGAUGAAGGCCCUCGGGCUGUAAACUGCUUUUGUACAGAACGAAAAGGUUUCUACUAAUACUAGGAGCUCAUGACGGUACUGUAAGAAUAAGCACCGGCUAACUACGUGCCAGCAGCCGCCGUAA
RNAcentral lists this ribosomal RNA (500 nucleotides) under uncultured bacterium. Its description in RNAcentral is "partial 16S ribosomal RNA". It matches the Rfam family "Bacterial small subunit ribosomal RNA", at positions 30 to 523 of the family's 1533-position model. The record is from RNAcentral.